This 480-nucleotide ribosomal RNA is filed under the name Pseudomonas sp. 01WB03.4-30. RNAcentral's name for it is "bacterial SSU rRNA". It matches the Rfam family "Bacterial small subunit ribosomal RNA", at positions 1 to 484 of the family's 1533-position model. Lineage: Bacteria; Pseudomonadati; Pseudomonadota; Gammaproteobacteria; Pseudomonadales; Pseudomonadaceae. The record is from RNAcentral.
UGAGCUUGAUCAUGGCUCAGAUUGAACGCUGGCGGCAGGCCUAACACAUGCAAGUCGAGCGGUAGAGAGAAGCUUGCUUCUCUUGAGAGCGGCGGACGGGUGAGUAAUGCCUAGGAAUCUGCCUGGUAGUGGGGGAUAACGUUCGGAAACGGACGCUAAUACCGCAUACGUCCUACGGGAGAAAGCAGGGGACCUUCGGGCCUUGCGCUAUCAGAUGAGCCUAGGUCGGAUUAGCUAGUUGGUGGGGUAAUGGCUCACCAAGGCGACGAUCCGUAACUGGUCUGAGAGGAUGAUCAGUCACACUGGAACUGAGACACGGUCCAGACUCCUACGGGAGGCAGCAGUGGGGAAUAUUGGACAAUGGGCGAAAGCCUGAUCCAGCCAUGCCGCGUGUGUGAAGAAGGUCUUCGGAUUGUAAAGCACUUUAAGUUGGGAGGAAGGGCAGUUACCUAAUACGUGAUUGUUUUGACGUACCGACAG